GAUGAAGAACGUAGCGAAAUGCGAUACUUGGUGUGAAUUGCAGAAUCCCGUGAACCAUCGAGUCUUUGAACGCAAGUUGCGCCCGAAGCCAUCAGGUUGAGGGCACGUCUGCCUGGGCGUCACAUAUCGUUGCCCAAUGCCUAUUGCAGUGCAAUAGGAAUUUCUAGGGCGAAUGAUGGCUUCCCGUGAGCGUUGUUGCCUCGCGGUUGGUUGAAAAUCGAGUCCUUGGUAGGGCGUGCCAUGGUAGAUGGUGGUCGAGUUAGAACGAUACCGAUCAUGUGCAUGCUCCCCAAAAUAUGGCCUCUAUGACCCACACGCGUCUUUUGACGCUCAUGACGAGACCUCAGGUCAGGCGGGGCUACCCGCUGAAUUUAAGCAUAUCAAUAAGCGGAGGA
Molecule: unclassified non-coding RNA, 395 nt
Filed under: soil metagenome
Description: partial contains 5.8S ribosomal RNA, internal transcribed spacer 2, and large subunit ribosomal RNA
Rfam family: 5.8S ribosomal RNA (bases 1-122)
Source: RNAcentral